AUAGUCAUGGUAGCAUGGCUCUGAGUCAUAAAACUAUGACGCUGAGUCAUCUCAACCAGACGCUGAGUCGUAUAAACAUAACGCAGAGUCAUAAAAUCAUGAAUCACAACAAACGAAUUUGGGCACCGUAAGCGUUACGCAAACCCUCGCGCAGAAUCACCUACGCCAUUUUUGUCACUUCUGUCAAGGCGCCUUUUGUGAGCGGCAGUGUUUUCCGAAGUUGAAAGUGAAAAAACUCUAUAUUCCGGCACAAAACUCCGGCCAGCUUCAUCAGCAGCAGAACAAUCAAGCUCACACGGCGGGCGACAUGGAACAUAAAAUCAGCACGCGCUUGGAUUUCCUUAAGGAAAAAUUCGAGAACCUUAAUUUGCAGCCGCAAAUUGUUUCGGUUGGGGCAUCGCGGGGAGAAGGAGCGGUGCUCGUUAUUUUCGGGGGAGCGGAGUACAAGGCAGACCACAUCCUCCAUGCCAUUUGCAUUUGCAUGCAAGUGAUAUAUGUUUUGAAUCUCCAGUAUGCACCAGACUGCAAGCCCCUCUGGAUGUUCUUGCAGGCUCAUCUGUUCAAAAUCCCAGCGGUAGAUCUACCCAAAAGCACCCGCGAUUUACUGCGGGCUAUUGAGUAGGUUGAAGGCACAAUGAUGAAUAAAUAUUGACAAAUACCAGAAUCAUAAAAAUUACUUCAAUAUUCA
Aedes albopictus (Asian tiger mosquito) is the source of this 688-nucleotide long non-coding RNA. RefSeq lists it as uncharacterized. Lineage: Eukaryota; Metazoa; Arthropoda; Insecta; Diptera; Culicidae. The record is from RefSeq and is a predicted model, not a curated record. The transcript is spliced from 3 exons.